UCCGGCUUUUCCCCGCAUGUCAAACCCAGGUAAGGUUCUUCGCGUUGCCUCGAAUUAAGCAACAUGCUCCGCCGCUUGUGCGGGCCCCCGUCAAUUCCUUUGAGUUUUAGCCUUGCGGCCGUACUCCCCAGGCGGGGCACUUAAUGCGUUAGCUACGGCACGGAACGCUUUGGUAACGCCCCACACCUAGUGCCCAACGUUUACAGCGUGGACUAC
This 216-nucleotide unclassified non-coding RNA is filed under the name uncultured Acidimicrobiia bacterium. RNAcentral's name for it is "contains 16S-23S intergenic spacer region". The record is from RNAcentral. Lineage: Bacteria; Bacillati; Actinomycetota; Acidimicrobiia.